Zophobas morio is the source of this 493-nucleotide long non-coding RNA. RefSeq lists it as uncharacterized. NCBI's taxonomy places the organism in Eukaryota, Metazoa, Arthropoda, Insecta, Coleoptera, Tenebrionidae. The transcript has 4 exons. The record is from RefSeq and is a predicted model, not a curated record.
CGACAUAUAAACCGCUUGGAAAACUCUGCUUAUCAUUUUUUUGGGCAUUUUAAUAAAAAGUUAUUACUACAUUUUUUGAAGGAAAGAAGUCAAACUUGGAACACCAGCCAGAAGGUACGACUAUUAUUAGGACAAAGCGGGGAAGUUCAGUUGGAAAAUUAUAACUUUUCCUUGGAACAUUGUUUAGAUCAACCUCCCAAAGUUGUGGUUGACCAAGAAAUUAUUAACAGCAGAGACAUUAUUUCACGCCACAAAACGACAAAGAGAACAAUUUACGAAAACGCGCGUGAGAGAAAUGGCGUUGGAAAAAAGGGUAUUUUUGAUGUAAUUUUGCAUAAUGAGAGAGGAGAAGUCACAGAAACAACCAGUGCAAACAUUGCUAUCCGUUCGUUUGCUGGGCUUUUACUUGGCGUAAUGCGCUCGGAACUUUUGGAAACCCAACUUCUGGGCCCCAUACACGAACAAGUUAUCCUAUUGGACGAAUUUAUUGAAG